UACGGAGAGGUCUAGUGAUGCUCGGUAUGACUGGGCGUAAAGGGCGCGUAGGCGGACUGCACAGUCAGGCGUGAAAUUCCUGGGCUUAACAUGGGGACUGCGUCUGAGACGUGUUAUCUAGAGUGAGGAAGAGGGUCGUGGAAUUUCCAGUGUAGAGGUGAAAUUCGUAGAUAUUGGAAAGAACACCGGUGGCGAAGGCGGCGACCUGGUCCUUGACUGACGCUGAGGCACGAAAGCGUGGGGAGCAAACAGG
This 253-nucleotide ribosomal RNA is filed under the name uncultured bacterium. RNAcentral's name for it is "partial 16S ribosomal RNA". It matches the Rfam family "Bacterial small subunit ribosomal RNA", at positions 524 to 776 of the family's 1533-position model. The record is from RNAcentral.